RNAcentral lists this ribosomal RNA (446 nucleotides) under uncultured bacterium. RNAcentral's name for it is "partial 16S ribosomal RNA". It matches the Rfam family "Bacterial small subunit ribosomal RNA", at positions 338 to 795 of the family's 1533-position model. The record is from RNAcentral.
CCUACGGGGGGCAGCAGUCGAGAAUCAUUCACAAUGGGGGAAACCCUGAUGGUGCGACGCCGCGUGGGGGAAUGAAGGUCUUCGGAUUGUAAACCCCUGUCAUGUGGGAGCAAAUUAAAAAGAUAGUACCACAAGAGGAAGAGACGGCUAACUCUGUGCCAGCAGCCGCGGUAAUACAGAGGUCUCAAGCGUUGUUCGGAAUCACUGGGCGUAAAGCGUGCGUAGGCUGUUUCGUAAGUCGUGUGUGAAAGGCGCGGGCUCAACCCGCGGACGGCACAUGAUACUGCGAGACUAGAGUAAUGGAGGGGGAACCGGAAUUCUCGGUGUAGCAGUGAAAUGCGGAGAGAUCGAGGGGAACACUCGUGGCGAAGGCGGGUUCCUGGACAUUAACGGACGCUGAGGCACGAAGGCCAGGGGAGCGAAAGGGAUUAGAUACCCCUGUAGUC